AGAGUUUGAUCAUGGCUCAGGAUGAACGCUAGCGGCAGGCUUAAUACAUGCAAGUCGUGGGGCAGCAGGGGUAGCAAUACUCGCUGGCGACCGGCAAACGGGUGCGGAACACGUACACAACCUUCCUUAAAGUGGGGAAUAGCCCAGGGAAACUUGGAUUAAUACCCCGUAAUAUUAUUAGAUGGCAUCAUUUGAUAAUUAUAGCUCCGGCGCUUAAAGAUGGGUGUGCGGCUGAUUAGGUAGUUGGCGGGGUAACGGCCCACCAAGCCUACGAUCAGUAACUGGUGUGAGAGCACGACCAGUCACACGGGCACUGAGACACGGGCCCGACUCCUACGGGAGGCAGCAGUAAGGAAUAUUGGUCAAUGGACGCAAGUCUGAACCAGCCAUGCCGCGUGGAGGAUGAAGGUCCUCUGGAUUGUAAACUUCUUUUAUCUGGGAAGAAACCCAAGGUUUCUACUUUGGUUGACGGUACCAGAUGAAUAAGCACCGGCUAACUCCGUGCCAGCAGCCGCGGUAAUACGGAGGGUGCAAGCGUUAUCCGGAUUCACUGGGUUUAAAGGGUGCGUAGGUGGGCUAGUAAGUCAGUGGCGAAAUCUCCGGGCUUAACCCGGAAACUGCCAUUGAUACUAUCAGUCUUGAAUACCGUGGAGGUAAGCGGAAUAUGUCAUGUAGCGGUGAAAUGCUUAGAUAUGACAUAGAACACCAAUUGCGAAGGCAGCUUACUACCCGAAUAUUGACACUGAGGCACGAAAGCGUGGGGAUCAAACAGGAUUAGAUACCCUAGUAGUCC
This 793-nucleotide ribosomal RNA is filed under the name uncultured bacterium. RNAcentral describes it as "bacterial SSU rRNA". It matches the Rfam family "Bacterial small subunit ribosomal RNA", at positions 8 to 796 of the family's 1533-position model. The record is from RNAcentral.